This 869-nucleotide long non-coding RNA is filed under the name Lupinus angustifolius (narrow-leaved blue lupine). RNAcentral describes it as "long non-coding RNA (LANG_LNC003064)". The record is from RNAcentral. Lineage: Eukaryota; Viridiplantae; Streptophyta; Magnoliopsida; Fabales; Fabaceae.
ACAGGAUUAAUUAAAGAAAGAAAAAGAAGGAAUGUGAUUAAAAUAGAGAGGGGUAACAGUGGGCGAGAGACGACGGCUUGGGUUCUCACCGGUGGGAGGAGGCGGUGAUUCGUGGCGGUUCUCAGUCCUGGCUUCCCUCUUCAUGGAUGGCGUUCCAUGACCCGUGAGCCAGGUGGCUUCAGUAAUGAAUCUUAUCCCUCUCCAGUUCAAAUUUACUUAUCUUUUACUAUAUAAAUUAAUUGGUGAUAUGAAAAUGGAUUUGAUUACCGAUUCAUCGAAAACAAAUCAGAAUUGUUUUAAGAUUGCCAAGAUGCACCAUUUACUUUCAUGAAUGUAUUCAGAAUUAAUUUGACGUAUAUACAACAUGAAUAUGGACUUAGAACUGAUGAUUAACAAUUGAAUGAGGAGGGAUAGGUUGUUACCCAGGAGAACUUUGUACAUAACCUUGCUAUUAUUAUCUUCACCUGUUAUUGAUCCCCUUUUCUCUAGCUUUUGAUAUCUCGGCUGUUUCUUACUCUUCAAUCCUUUCAAUUCACUGUUUUUUUGUUCCUGAUUUCGGUAUGUUGUGUUAUGUUUUGUGUAUGUAUAUGUCUCUCUCUCUGAUUUCUCUUUUAUCUGUGUAUAUGACUCUCUAACUGUUGCUUUUGCUGUGUUAUGAGCGGGUCAUACUUCCGGAUAAACUCGCGUCUAUUCUUCUUGGAGGUUUAUGACGGCAACAGAAAAGCAAAAGUGGAGAUGGGUACCUCGAUUCUUACUAAACUGGUUCGGUUUGGGAACUUUGGGUUGAUGAAAAAUGAGAACAAAAAUUGGAAGAUGAUAGUGAUGAUUUUGAAAAGACAUGACUUACUAAUAAGUCACCACAUAUUGUU